AUUUUAGUUGGAUUGAAAAGCUCCUGUGUAAGGUACCCUUUCCUAAAGAAAAAUUGAAGUAAUUUGUACAAUUAUAACGCGCCGAGAAAAUAUUGUGUACAAUGGGAGUAAGUGAUGUAAUCUUCUAAUGCGUGUGGUGAAAAGAAGGCGAAUCCGUUAUUGUUUUUCUGCCCAAAUUUGAAGCUAUUUAAUAAAUCUUGAUAAAGUUAAAAAACUGUUUUGAUUUGUUUGUUUUUGUUUUAAUUGUUUCCCGUGAGUUUUCGAAAUUCGUUCCAGCAGAUUCUGUGGCUUCUACUGCCGGUAUUUUUACGUGAAAAAAAUA
Long non-coding RNA from Hydractinia symbiolongicarpus, 322 nucleotides. RefSeq lists it as uncharacterized. Lineage: Eukaryota; Metazoa; Cnidaria; Hydrozoa; Anthoathecata; Hydractiniidae. The record is from RefSeq and is a predicted model, not a curated record. The transcript is spliced from 2 exons.